RNAcentral lists this ribosomal RNA (337 nucleotides) under Armadillo officinalis (oak-woodland pillbug). Its description in RNAcentral is "partial large subunit ribosomal RNA". Lineage: Eukaryota; Metazoa; Arthropoda; Malacostraca; Isopoda; Armadillidae. The record is from RNAcentral.
AUUUGUUAUCUAAAUGAUAACUAGUAUGAAUGGUCUGACGAGAAAAUAACUUUCUAAAAAGAAAAAAAAUUAAAUUAAUUUAAAAGUAAAAAAGCUUUUAAGCUUUAGAAAGACGAGAAGACCCUAGAACCUGUUCUAUUUCCUAUAGUUUGUUGGGGUGACAUUAUUCAAAACAAAUAACUAUUAAAACUUAUUAAUUGACUCUAUCCAUCUUUAUUAAAAAAAAAAAAGGUACUCUAGGGAUAACAGCAUAAUCUUCUUCUAAAGCCCUAAUCGACAAAAAAAAUUUUGACCUCGAUGUUGAAUUGAUAUUUCUUUCUAAAGCAAAAUUUUUUAA